UGCGCAAACAAAUUCGCAUACAUGAAGAAAAAGUCAUUUGCGCUGGUGCCUUUCCCGUGGCAGACGCGCUCGUUCUCCAUGCUGACAGCUACUCUUACCAAGCGCGUGUCUGCCGUAUCUCUCACUAAAUAGGACCGGGCUACCCAAUCCUGGAGAGAUGUGCGCGAAAUACUGGACGGUUGAGUAUUUGUGUCAAACCCGGCCCAGUCAUACCCAUCUACCCGGGGAAGCCCUCCCACCGGGACCAAAGGCGCCGGAUCCACGGUCAAGCCCCCUCGCAAUAAAAAUAGGGGGGCUCCGUGGAAGAUCCGUCCGCUGUUAACCGGGGCGGAGGACCCUUGAGCUAUGGUCACCGCCUCGGCCAGAGCAGAUGGCACGGCCGAAUCCUC
This 389-nucleotide long non-coding RNA is filed under the name Vigna radiata. Its description in RNAcentral is "long non-coding RNA (VRAD_LNC003685)". The record is from RNAcentral. Lineage: Eukaryota; Viridiplantae; Streptophyta; Magnoliopsida; Fabales; Fabaceae.